Helianthus annuus (common sunflower) is the source of this 1525-nucleotide long non-coding RNA. RefSeq lists it as uncharacterized. Lineage: Eukaryota; Viridiplantae; Streptophyta; Magnoliopsida; Asterales; Asteraceae. The transcript has 5 exons. The record is from RefSeq and is a predicted model, not a curated record.
UGGAAUGGUUAUUAUUGUGUAAUUUUUUAAGAAAUUGUGUUAUUUUAUGAAGAGUGAUUUUUUCUCUUAUUAUAUGACAAUAUAUGUAUUAGAACUUUUGUAUUCAGGUUUAACUAUUCUUUUGUAGUUGUGUGUCUUAUUUUAUCUUAUUGUAUAACAUUAAAUGCUGUGUUUGAUGUGUAAUAAAUAUUUUGUGGCAGAGAAAUUAAUAAAUUCCCUUAUUGGAUUAUAAGCUAAGUAUCCAGAGUGUUUAUGAUUGUGUGUUUAUAUAGUGUUGUGUUUUUAUUUUAUAUGGUAUUAUGAUUGUGUUUUUUCUAUAUUAUUGUUUUUUUUUAUUUUACAUGCUAUACUUUAUGUAUUAUUUGUUUUACAACAUGGUAUGUAUUAGCGGUUUACUACUUAGGUGUUGUCGCCCAUGUUCCUACAAAUCUGGUGUCAUUAACUGCUUUUUAUGGUGUAUAAAUAUCGUAUUACUUGAUUAUUUAAUAAACAUAUCAUACUCGAUUAUGUCCAGUUUUAUUCACAAGGUUUGUUUAGUUCAUAUUCUUUCUGUUUUGAAAACAAGUGCAUUGCAUUAUGUGAUAAUUGUCUGCAUUGUUUUUGUAUUACAUUCUGAGUUACUAACAGCAAAGUUGAUGCAUUACUGCUUUCUAAUUCUAUCAGGUUGCAGGUGGUUAUGGAUGAUUUUCUAAAGAAUGUUGUUUUUAGUAACAUCGAUGAUGUGUGGGAAAUUAGUGAGCCACGAUCUGUUAUAAUACUGGGUACCGUAAAGGAAAUAUCCAGGGAGGUUGGUUGGUUUUCUUUGAAGUGUCCUAAUUGUUUAAAUGAGGCUUGUACAAAAAACAUGGGUUUAACUAAAUUUGAAGGAGGUUGUGAUCAAGAACAACAUACGUUGUAUGUGUGCACUAAUGAAUUUUGUCGAAAAAAUGUUAUUGAUGAACCGGUUUUAAGAUUGAAGGUUCGUGUUGAGGAUAGCAGUGGUGAUGUAUCUCUUAUUUUGUUUCAUAAUACAGCAUGUUAUCGAGAAGUCUGCAAAACAGUUGAUUCAGGAUAACACAAUGGAUGAUGGUACUGUGCGAUUUCCAAACGAAUUAAAAACUUUGGUGGAUAAAUUGUUUUCAUUCAAGAUUGAAGUCAGCGAGACUAACUUGACAUAUUGUGAUGAAGAAUACGAGAUUCAAAGAAUAACUGACAAUGAAUCAGUUGUUGAUGUGGUUAAAUAAAUGUCUGGGAUUAGUCAGAGCUGUAUGCUUGAUGAUAAGAAGAAUGGUACUCCAAUUUCGCUUGUGAUGAGUUCUGAUGGUGAUUCAAUUGAUAAAAAAACAUGUUCAAUGGUUUGUAAAGAUACGACGUCUAAGCGUAAAUUGCUUGAUCUUUACAAUUUGGAUGUCAUUUCGAACUCGAGCAUCUGUGAAAGUACAAGUAAUAAUAUUGUGGAGAGCGUGAAAGAUGUUGGUAAGAAAGAGAUUAGUUUACCGAUUUUAAUGAGUGAGAUGUUGUUUCUUUUGUUUGUUGCAUUUUAGAG